This 1316-nucleotide long non-coding RNA is filed under the name Marmota monax (woodchuck). Lineage: Eukaryota; Metazoa; Chordata; Mammalia; Rodentia; Sciuridae. The record is from RNAcentral.
AGAAUAUACAACACAAUUGUAAUAUACUAUUCAGACAUCCCAGUCCUCAGUAGCCUAAUCCAUGAAAAGUACUUAUUUUCACAAAUGUUGGGGAUGUGAGGGAGGGAGGAGAGAGAGAGAAAAAAAGGAAAAGGAAAAAAAAUCCCAAAGGAAAAUUAAAAAGGAUUGGUUCUAUUAGAGUGCAAUAUAUUUUCUAUUUCCCUUCCCAUUCAAUAGGUGGGGUUGUCUGUUGUUCGCUGGUAUCUCCACCCUCAGGAUGGUGAAAGUUAUUAGGGUGGGAGGGUUGGUUUUGGGGACGGAACUCCUGGAUGUGGGAUAUAGCACUUGCUGGUCCCCAUUGGGAAACCGCACCCCAAGAAUCUCCUUUGGAGCCCACUCGUGUGAUGUGGGCACCUGGUCUUAUCUCCUUAUAUCUCCUGUGUACCUCACAAUUCCUGGUCUCUACUUUAGCCUCUAAACUGUAUCUCACUCACCCCUUCCCUUUCUACUUCCUAACCAGGAACCUGAGGUCUUGUGGGCUGUGCUCUGGGGCCGGUACACCUGUCUCAGAGAGUGUUUUAUAUUGGGCAGCUCAGGACCAGUCUUUGUGAGCUACUCACUGGCUAUGUAGCUGCAAGCUGCUGGGUUAGUGGAUGCAGAGGAGGGGGAGUUGGGAGACUAUACGUACCUUGAUAUUACCUUUAGGCCCCAGCUGAUGUCCUAGGCUGGGAGUUGACCCAACUAAAGAUGAUGACAAAGGUGUACCAAGAUGGAGGCAACUGCUUUCAGAGAUCGGUUGUCAGGCUGCGCUGGGUGGGGCAUUGGGCGAAGUGUUCAGAGAUGCAGCCCCGUGGCUUGCAGUGUUGUGGCUGGCAGGUACCUCCGUCCCUGUCAAGUGUCCCCAGGUACAGGAAACUAUGGCAGUGGUUGCAGUGUCCCAAGGUGGAGGCCACCAGGGGAAGCCCCAUGCUGGUAGAUGGGGGUCCACAUGGGAAUGGUGGCUGGGGAUCAUGCAUGGGUGGUCAGUCGGGGGUCCUGCAUAGGUGCUAAGGCCUGGGGUCCUGUGCGGAAACAGCUGCCAGGAUUCAUGCAGGAGAGCAGCUGUCAGGGGUCCUCUAAUAACUAGCAGAGAAACAGUAUUCCAUUGCUUAAAUCCCAGGUUACGCAGCAACAAGGAUUCAGCCUCCCCCUAUCCCGGCAUCUUGGAUCCUCAACUGGGUGGUUUUUAUGUGUUUGAAUUUCAAGAGUUUUUUAUAUAUCAGGAUAUAAAUCGUCUGUUAGGUAUGUGAUUUGCAAAUAUUUUCUCCCAGUUCAUAGCUUGUAUUUUUAUUUUUUAC